AUACGGAGGGUGCAAGCGUUGUCCGGAUUUAUUGGGUUUAAAGGGUGCGUAGGUGGUUUUUUAAGUCAGUGGUGAAAGCCUACAGCUUAACUGUAGAGGUGCCAUUGAUACUGGGGAACUCGAGUAUGGACGAGGUAGGCGGAAUUUGUGGUGUAGCGGUGAAAUGCAUAGAUACCACAAGGAACACCGAUAGCGAAGGCAGCUUACUGGGCCAUAACUGACACUGAGGCACGAAAGCGUGGGGAGCGAACAGGAUUAGAAACCCUAGUAGUCC
This 274-nucleotide ribosomal RNA is filed under the name uncultured bacterium. RNAcentral describes it as "partial 16S ribosomal RNA". It matches the Rfam family "Bacterial small subunit ribosomal RNA", at positions 523 to 796 of the family's 1533-position model. The record is from RNAcentral.